CGCUAGCGGCAGGCUUAACACAUGCAAGUCGAGGGGCAGCACGUCUUCGGAUGGUGGCGACCGGCGCACGGGUGCGUAACGCGUAUACAAUCUACCUUUUACAGGGGCAUAGCCCGGGGAAACCCGGAUUAAUAUCCCAUGGUAUGUAGAGAUGGCAUCAUNUUUACAUUAAAGUUUCGGCGGUAAAAGAUGAGUAUGCGUCCUAUUAGCUAGAUGGUAAGGUAACGGCUUACCAUGGCUACGAUAGGUAGGGGUCCUGAGAGGGAGAUCCCCCACACUGGUACUGAGACACGGACCAGACUCCUACGGGAGGCAGCAGUGAGGAAUAUUGGACAAUGGGCGCAAGCCUGAUCCAGCCAUGCCGCGUGCAGGAAGACUGCCCUAUGGGUUGUAAACUGCUUUUAUACGGGAAGAAACACCCUCUCGUGAGGGGGCUUGACGGUACCGUAUGAAUAAGGAUCGGCUAACUCCGUGCCAGCAGCCGCGGUAAUACGGAGGAUCCAAGCGUUAUCCGGAAUCAUUGGGUUUAAAGGGUCCGUAGGCGGGUUUGUAAGUCAGUGGUGAAAGUCUGCAGCUCAACUGUAGAACUGCCAUUGAUAC
RNAcentral lists this ribosomal RNA (600 nucleotides) under Flavobacteriaceae bacterium YIM C421. RNAcentral describes it as "bacterial SSU rRNA". It matches the Rfam family "Bacterial small subunit ribosomal RNA", at positions 34 to 633 of the family's 1533-position model. The record is from RNAcentral. Lineage: Bacteria; Pseudomonadati; Bacteroidota; Flavobacteriia; Flavobacteriales; Flavobacteriaceae.